Molecule: small RNA, 27 nt
Filed under: Bombyx mori (domestic silkworm)
Lineage: Eukaryota; Metazoa; Arthropoda; Insecta; Lepidoptera; Bombycidae
Description: ovarian small RNA-26536
Source: RNAcentral
UCCAAGCCGGUGUCUUUGAGAGACGCG